GUCUAUAUCCAUAGCACUCUGAACACCCUUGAUCUCAUCUGAUCUUGGUAGCUAAGCAGGUUUGGUCUGCUUAGUUACUUGGAAGGGACAAAGCUU
Molecule: ribosomal RNA, 96 nt
Organism: Cricetulus griseus (Chinese hamster)
Lineage: Eukaryota; Metazoa; Chordata; Mammalia; Rodentia; Cricetidae
Source: Ensembl